GAUCUCUUGGCACUCACAUCAAUUAACAACUCUUCGAAAAGCGAUAAAUAAUGUAAAUUGCAUAAUUCUUUGAAUCAUCCAAUCUAAGAACGCACCUUGAGCUUCCUGGUAUUCCGGGGAGCACGCCUGUUCGAGUGUCUCGAAAUUUCUCAAGCUUGGAUGGAUUUUUUGUCCGUCCCUUAACCUUGGUUGUUGGGCAUUGCCGUGUCCUUCAUUGGUAAGGCUGGCCUUAAAAGCAUCAACUGAUCCUCGUGUGGCACUGGUUCAACUCAACGUGAUAACAGUCUGAUCCCUGAGGACAUCUUUUGGGAUGGCCAACUCUCAUUUGGGUUGCUUCUAAACUUGGUUUCACAGAUUGUGCAAUCU
This 366-nucleotide unclassified non-coding RNA is filed under the name uncultured Clavulina. RNAcentral's name for it is "sequence contains ITS1, 5.8S rRNA gene and ITS2". The stretch from base 1 to 140 matches the Rfam family "5.8S ribosomal RNA". The record is from RNAcentral. Lineage: Eukaryota; Fungi; Basidiomycota; Agaricomycetes; Cantharellales; Hydnaceae.